CAGUAUGAUAUUAAAAUAGUUUCAUUGCUAGCAUUACCCAGUGGCCAGAUCAGUUUCUAUUGAACGAGUACAAAAAAUGUUUUACAUAAAUGUUAGAGGCAUGCUUUAAAAUUAAACACUCAUUGCACUUUGAAGUUAUUUAUUACAUGUUCUUACAAUCUAAUGUAUUUUUAAAGUAUGAUACUUUGUAAAACACUGUGUAAUGUGAAGUGAGAAUUCUCGUGAUCCAUCC
This is a long non-coding RNA of Pipistrellus kuhlii (Kuhl's pipistrelle), 232 nucleotides long. RefSeq lists it as uncharacterized. The transcript has 3 exons. Lineage: Eukaryota; Metazoa; Chordata; Mammalia; Chiroptera; Vespertilionidae. The record is from RefSeq and is a predicted model, not a curated record.